CCAUGUCACUGUUAUGCAGCCUGUGAUUAAACACGCUGUCAGCUGCUGCUGUUUACAGAUAACAAUGCUGCUUUCUCUCAUUCCUACACUAUCAGACUCAUUAGGAAGGUUUAUGGAUAAAUUAGUCAGUCUGGGAUUAAAUAAUGUCUGAAAUGCAUGCACUGAGAAGUGCACCUUCCUGCUCUGGGUAGCCAAAUGUGACAGUGACGUGAGCCACUGCAUGGAGCAGAGGCCCAGCCCCACACCAGGGUAGCCCCCAGAUCUGGAGCCUAAUUGUUAUCUCCAUAUGGGCUCUCUUCAAGGAGACUCUUCCAGGGGUGAGCCCCACAAUUCUGGUACCAGGCUGGAGGCAGUAGUGUCUGGUAGGCAAAAUCCUCUCUGAUGCUUCAUUACAGCAGAUUCUGCAGUACACAUAAAAAGAGGCUCUUUUCCCAUUCUUAUUGCAUGAAACACCCAUACAUUUCCAGAGAAGGUUCCUGGUAGGCUUGGUGCCUGCCUGUUCAAUACAGCAGGAACAAACUGCAGCUGCAGAUGGGAACAGGUUGUUUCUGCCAUUUGUUAUUUUUUCCCUAAUUAUGAUGCAGAUUGGAUGCUCUCUCCAGCAUUCCCUCCCUUUCUGUUUAUUCAAGCAGGAUUUUUGUGAACCUAUAUGCGAAUUUCUUUUCCAGGCCUGGAGUGUCCCAUUAGAAUGGAGCAGAAUUAAUUGCUUCCCAGAGCUGCAGCCAUUUCCCCAGUCCCCUUCUACCACUGAGCCGGGAUGGGAACAGGGCUGGGAUGUGAGGAUCCCUCUCUCCAUCCUCAGGCUGGGGCUGGCAGGAUCUCUGUGGCAGGUAUCUUGGGGGAUGGUGUGGAUGGCAGCUGGCUGGCAGUCUCUCUCUCUCUCCAGGGCUGCUUCUCACCCUGGCAGGGUGGCAGGAGGAGCAGAGGCACCUGCAGGCAUGGAAGGCUGUCCUGCUCUCUGCUGAGCAGUGAGCAAUCUGUAAUUACUGGAGAGCUUUCAGGGAGCUGGACAUAGUAUGCUGGUGCCUUAUUUAGAGUCUGCCCAAGUGCUGAGUCCUGGAGUGUAAAAUGCAGCUAUGAAUUAGCCACAGCUGGAUUAAAUUGCUAAUUAUAAUUUGCAAAGUGUAUUCCCUUCUUCUGUCACUGACAAAUGAAAAAGACUCACUCGGCAUGACCUCCCUGCCACCCUCACCCCGUGACGGGGAGAUAAUUGAUGAAUGUCUUGUGGUGAUUGAGUUACCAAGUGAGUCCUGAAGUGUCUUUCCUCAUUUGUGUGUCAUACAAGUUGCACUUCUGAUUUGCCUGAUGAGAAAGAGCCAGAGUAGCAUCACUCCAUGGAAAUCCACAGCAAUUCAGUGCCCUUGUUGUUGUUGAGGGACAUUUACUGACACGUUAUUGAGGGGCCAGGGAAAUUAGAAAUCUUGGGAAUGCAUUUUAAAUGGUGAUCAGCACAUAGAUAUAAACACGAAAAAGCUCUUAAUAGAGGAAACACCAUAAAACUGGGGAAUCCAGGCCCAAGGUGCACUGGCACUCUGUGGUCCCCCUUUAGGGUGAACAGGGAUGCUCUCCUUAGGAGCAGUGUGAACCAGACUGGCACACACUUCAAAUUUACCAAGAUUUGGGUUGCAGAUUCAGUGCAGUGCAGCUUGGGAGCUGCUGAGGGAGGCCUGGGAGGUGCUCAAGCUGUGGAGGAAACCUGGCACCAGGGCAGGCACUGGCCCUUGCUGUGGCCACUCUGGAGCUUCUUCCCUGGCAUUCAGUGCUGGACACUCACCUCAGAAGCUACACGACCAGCAGGACCAGCCUGUCUAAAACACCUCUGACAGUGAGUGAUGGUCACAUGUUACAGAUCCUUUUGUGAAACAUAACCAGCCUGCUGUAAGACCAUUUCUGAUGUGACUGAAAAUAAAAAUCCUGACGACAGCACUUCAAACAGAACUGCUGCAAAUCUCUAUAAAUGGCUUUAAUGAAACCAGCCAGGAGGAGAAGGAGAGAAAAUCAAAGGAGGGUUAUUUUCACUGUGGUGUCAAAACUAUCUUUCUGUCUCCACUUACAGCAGGUUCCAGUCAGGAGUGGGGAAGGGCAACAGCCCCAGAGCUGGAUGUGAGCAGCAGAGGUGACCAGACAGCCUGCAUACUCCUCUUCCUUCGCCUGCAGAUAAUGGCCCCCUGUUGUGCCACUCAAGGAGCCGGUGGGCAGUGCCAUCUUGGGGAUGCAUCCCUCCGUCCUGUCUCUGGUGUGGCUUUGGGCUCCUGAAGAAAUCCUAGUGUCCAUUAAAGGCUGCUCUGUUUCUCUGUUUUCUUCACACCAGCAGUAACUUUUCAUCUGCUGUUGCUGAAACAAAAUUCAUAAGAUCAUUUUCCCAAAGCAUGAUACUUAAAAUCUUAAUUAAAAUACCUCUAGCUGUUCUAAUACCAAGAUUUUAUAAGUGCUUGGAAUAAUAUUUCAGAUAAAUGGAAAAGCUGUGUGCUUUUAACACAACAGACUUUUCUUCUAGUAAAACAUAUCUAACAUCAAAUCCUCCACAUACUUCCCAAGUCCUCUUCCCUGCUUGGCUUCUCUGUGACAGGAAAGUGCACACGCCUGUGGAGCUUGGUGGUGAAUGGAGCUGUCCCAGGGGUCUGGAUUGAUUUGCUUCAUGACAUUGAUACCUUCCACUGUCCCAGCAGUGAGAUCCAGUGCAUGAGUAUGAAAAGGAGGUGAGAUCCCAUAUAUUACACUGUGAGAGUUGUGUGUCAUGUUAGAGCAAUCUGGCUUUAAAGGACAUCUUUCAAGCACAAACUAGCUUUUUCCCACACCUGACUGAUCACACAAAUAACUGUGAUUAAAGGUCAAGUGCCUGGGUUUUUCUAUUUUGGUCCUUAAAAAUUUAUAUGCGAAAGAAAACCUAGAAGUUAACAUAGCAUGAAAUUGUUAUGCAGUUCUGAGCCUUUAACGACAACUAAAUAUCACUUUUCUUCCUGGGUGGCUUGAGAAAUCUUAAGUAAUAACGGGUCACUUCUUUUGGUUUCCACUUGAGGAAGAUUAUAAAUAAACCCUGUCUUUUGCUUCCCUCCUCUGUAACAUGAUGGGAGGAGGGUUUUGACUGUAUGAACUCAUGCCCCCAGUCAGCAUGGCUGUUCCUGGUCUCACCGGGAGCUCCUGGGCUGCAGGUGCAUGGUAGGAGGGGCUCCAGUGCUGAUGCAGCAGCACACGAAGCACUGAUCCACACUGAGCU
Parus major (Great Tit) is the source of this 3217-nucleotide long non-coding RNA. RefSeq lists it as uncharacterized. Lineage: Eukaryota; Metazoa; Chordata; Aves; Passeriformes; Paridae. The record is from RefSeq and is a predicted model, not a curated record. The transcript has 3 exons.